Molecule: small nuclear RNA, 107 nt
Organism: Cavia aperea (Brazilian guinea pig)
Lineage: Eukaryota; Metazoa; Chordata; Mammalia; Rodentia; Caviidae
Source: Ensembl
GUGCUCACUUCAGCAGCACGUAUACUAAAGUUAAAAUGAUGCAGAGAAGAUUCGAAUGGCACCUGUGCAAGGAUGACUCACAAAUUCGUGAAGCGUUCCAUAGUUUU